UUCAGGAGUGAAUUAAAAAGUGAUGGAUUAGCUUAAUUAUAAGAGAUUUCAGUGCUGAACCUGCUGUCUUUUGAUGAUGAUGCACGCAGCAGCUGCAGUUUGCUAGAGGACCAGAUUUUUAUAUUAAAAUGAUAUGAUUGAUAGUUUCAUGGUUAUUGUUCUGGUAGUUUUUUGACGUUCGCAUGUCCCUAGUUCUAAAAUAAGCUGCUCUAAAUCUUAAUGUGUUUAUUCAGACAAUGCUCUUUGCUACUUGUGUUGUAUAUUUUGUAGCUCCAUUAGAAAAUUUUUGCUCCUGUAUAAACUACUAGCUUCGAUUGUUUAGACAAAUUUUGCUCCUGUAUAA
This is a long non-coding RNA of Beta vulgaris subsp. vulgaris (sugar beet), 343 nucleotides long. RefSeq lists it as uncharacterized. Lineage: Eukaryota; Viridiplantae; Streptophyta; Magnoliopsida; Caryophyllales; Amaranthaceae. The record is from RefSeq and is a predicted model, not a curated record. The transcript is spliced from 2 exons.